CAGCAGCAGCCACGGUAAUACAGAGGGUGCGAGCGUUAAUCGGAUUUACUGGGCGUAAAGCGUGCGUAGGCGGCUUUUUAAGUCGGAUGUGAAAUCCCUGAGCUUAACUUAGGAAUUGCAUUCGAUACUGGGAAGCUAGAGUAUGGGAGAGGAUGGUAGAAUUCCAGGUGUAGCGGUGAAAUGCGUAGAGAUCUGGAGGAAUACCGAUGGCGAAGGCAGCCAUCUGGCCUAAUACUGACGCUGAGGUACGAAAGCAUGGGGAGCAAACAGGAUUAGAUACCCCCGUAGUCCCUGUCUCUUAUAU
This 304-nucleotide ribosomal RNA is filed under the name uncultured bacterium. Its description in RNAcentral is "partial 16S ribosomal RNA". It matches the Rfam family "Bacterial small subunit ribosomal RNA", at positions 506 to 809 of the family's 1533-position model. The record is from RNAcentral.